CAACAUCUUUUUUUUUAUGUGGUGCUGAGGAUCAAACCCAGUGCCCUGUGCAUGCCAGGCAAGCGUGCUACCACUUGAGCCACAUCCCCAGCCCCAGCAUACAGACUUUGAAGUCAGAGCCACCUCCACUUCUAGGUUUUGCCAUGUAUUAGCAUGACCUUGUAUGAAUUUCAUAUUAAGAAAACUGGAUGAACUUCAAUUUCCUCUUCCAUAAAAUGUAUUAAAAUUUAAGGUUAUUAUGCAGAUUCCUUAAACUUAUCUAUACCCUGUCUGGCAUGUUCCUAAAUGGAAGGUGGGGGGAUUGAAGUGGGUUACCUUCUUCUCCUCCUUCUCCCUCUACGCACUACACAGGCUUCCGGGAUAUGGUUUCAUAUGCAGCCUGGUCCCGAGCCCCAGAAGCACAGCUGAUUCUUUAUCUAACCAAGGCAUUGAUGCCUUUUUACUCAGUUGAAGGCAUCAAUAUUUGUUCAAUAGCAUAAGUCUUAAAUAAGCAUCCAAAUGACAUAUUACUGUUGAUGGAAGUCAUUUCUGCAAGAAAGAUCAUCCCACAUGAUCAUGUUUCCAUCAUUAUCUGGGCCUCUGUAGUUGGAAAAUCUCUGCAGCUACUUAAAUGAUAACAUUAGUCCUAAUACCAUGUAGAAUGACUAGUUCCUCGGGGUAGGUUUAUUUUUAAUAGCGAAUGUCAGCAGCAAAUAGCUUAGAAGACCCCAGAGGAAAAAGGCACAGCUCACACUCUCACUGAAGCGAUGAUGUGGAUAUAUUUAAUAUCUGUAUUAAAAACCUUUUAAGCACCAUGGUGAUAUUGAACUGGAUAGUUAGACGGGCAAGGGGACCGUCCUGGGCUGUGUAUGAUGGGUAUGACGCUGUGUGCCCUAUAGAAACUCUGAGGCUGUUCAGAGUCAAACUUGGCCUUCAAAAAUCUUCGACAGAAUUUUUUUUUUUUUUUUUUGUACUGGGGAUUGAACUCACAGGCACUUGACCACUGAGCCACUUCCCCAGUAUUAUUUUGUAUUUUGUUUAGAGACAGGGUCUCACUGAGUUGCUUAGUGCCUCACUUUUGCGGAGGCUGGCUUUGAACUCUUGAUCCUCCUGCCUCAGCCUCCUGAGCCCCUGGGAUUACAGGUGUGUGCCACUGUGCCCAGCCCUUUUGACAGACAUUUGACCCCCAAAGUACAAUACUCUGAAACACACAAACUGAAAGAAG
This 1204-nucleotide long non-coding RNA is filed under the name Marmota monax (woodchuck). Lineage: Eukaryota; Metazoa; Chordata; Mammalia; Rodentia; Sciuridae. The record is from RNAcentral.